GACGAACGCUGGCGGCGUGCCUAAUACAUGCAAGUCGAGCGGACGUUUUUGAAGCUUGCUUCAAAAACGUUAGCGGCGGACGGGUGAGUAACACGUGGGCAACCUACCUUAUCGACUGGGAUAACUCCGGGAAACCGGGGCUAAUACCGGAUAACAUCUAGCACCUCCUGGUGCCGGAUUAAAAGAGGGCUUCUUGCUCUCACGAUGAGAUGGGCCCGCGGCGCAUUAGCUAGUUGGAGAGGUAACGGCUCCCCAAGGCGACGAUGCGUAGCCGACCUGGGAGGGUGAUCGGCCACACUGGGACUGAGACACGGCCCAGACUCCUACGGGAGGCAGCAGUAGGGAAUCUUCCGCAAUGGACGAAAGUCUGACGGAGCAACGCCGCGUGAGUGAUGAAGGGUUUCGGCUCGUAAAGCUCUGUUAUGAGGGAAGAACACGUGCCGUUCGAAUAGGGCGGUACCUUGACGGUACCUCAUCAGAAAGCCACGGCUAACUACGUGCCAGCAGCCGCCGUAA
RNAcentral lists this ribosomal RNA (516 nucleotides) under uncultured bacterium. RNAcentral's name for it is "partial 16S ribosomal RNA". It matches the Rfam family "Bacterial small subunit ribosomal RNA", at positions 28 to 523 of the family's 1533-position model. The record is from RNAcentral.